This is a small nucleolar RNA of Gopherus evgoodei (Goodes thornscrub tortoise), 142 nucleotides long. Lineage: Eukaryota; Metazoa; Chordata; Testudines; Testudinidae. The record is from Ensembl.
CCUCCAGUUAUUGGCACACAUGCAGUAGCUUGUUCCUCCUGUGUGUGACGUACGGAGGGAUAGGAAACGCAAACUCCAGUGUUGUGUCUGCAGAGCCGGCAGCUCCCAUCUACUGGUCCUAUCCUCAUUCGCUGGCACAUAC